Molecule: small RNA, 1336 nt
Filed under: Histoplasma capsulatum var. duboisii H88
Lineage: Eukaryota; Fungi; Ascomycota; Eurotiomycetes; Onygenales; Ajellomycetaceae
Description: Histoplasma capsulatum H88 hypothetical RNA
Source: RNAcentral
CGUACAGGGGGGAAUGGAGGUGCGGCACGGGCAGGAGAGGAAGAAUUCAUCGUAAUCAAUUUAUCCUUGAGCGGAUUUCCUGUGGACUGCGUAGCGCCUUGUUCCCUGCCUUGUGCCCUUGCCGCUGACUGUGGUGCGUUUCAGCACCCUCCAUUUUUAUCUUUCGGCAAAUCCCCCUCUCUCCGUCCGGCUUUGUUGCUUUCUUGUGAAUUUUCAUCUUUGCUGUUCAGUUUUUGCGCGCGGUUCAGGCUUCGCCUUCGGGGGUUUUUGUUUAACUUCCUUCGAUGAUACAUUACAGGGCCUUAACCGAGAUUUGAGUCCCUGACCUACAUCUCUGUUGUACUGUGCAACUCCGAACCAUAUAGUUUGCUUCUGUCCUUGCGCUUUUCUUCCUUGGCUGUGGAUUGUUACUUAGUUCUGUGAUUCUACUGGCUCCCGUGCCAUAUUGCCGAGGAGGACUAGAACCAUAAUUAUGGACUGUUUCGGGGGUUUAGUACCAUGGAUCAAAUCCAUCCAUCGACGACGGCGAAAGAACUCAAAGCGAUUGGUGAUUGGCCACCCAACGGAUUUCCGACGCGUAGAAUUCACGAUGCCUCAGUAUGAUAAGGAAGAUGCAUUGUCGGACAACACCCCCAGUGACUCCAGCGCGCUUUAUCACGUGUCGAAGCGAGAAAAGCUUUACCAUGAAGCCAAGCUGUUAAAGGAAAAGCUGACCGAAAAUACGGACGUCGUCCGUUUAAGACUCCUGCGGCAGCGCACAUAAACAAUAUUCCAAUCGACGAGAGACUAUGAAAAUGUUAGAUUUUAAGACGCAUGACGAUUUGGGUUCGCAAUUGGGAGGAAAGGCCUAUGAUGUUGCCGUUUAUCAUGGCUUAUUGAAGAUGAAAAUGGAAAGAGUUACGAAUGGUUUUGGAAUACGACGCUUAACGAAUUUUGAGAGGAGGAAUGAAUUUUUUUGCUUUCGUGCGCAUCUCACAAUAUGAAUGUUGGGACUUCAUUGAGGCGGGAUUUUUUGGAUUUUGCAUCUUUUCCAUGGCGUUUAUUGGAUGAGGUUUCUGAUGGCGAUCGUUUGCGAUGUUGGUAUUUGUUAUUGCUGAUUUCAUAUUCCUUUAUUUCUGUUGAUUGUUCAUCAUCUGGAUCAUCGAGUAAUCUCAUUAUUCUACUUGUGUGUUUUGGAGGAGCAGAGGUGCUAUGUCGGCGGCUUUUUGAGUGGCCAGACUCAUACGAUGCUUUUAUCUUUUCUUGUGGAUCACAUCGUGAUGCCGGCUGUGCGUUCGUAUUCACAGACAAUGAAUCUGCCGUAUAGGCAUUGCUCCUAAUUGACGCAGGCCUUUGU